GGCUGGUCCAAAGGUAGUGAGUUAUCUUACUUGAUUGUUCACAGUCAGUUACAGAUUGAACUUGAUCUACUACUUUCCUCCCUUCUCACUACUGCACUUGACUAGUCUUUA
RNAcentral lists this Y RNA (111 nucleotides) under Prolemur simus (greater bamboo lemur). RNAcentral's name for it is "Y RNA (ENSPSMG00000016961.1)". It matches the Rfam family "Y RNA". Rfam says of the family: Y RNAs are components of the Ro ribonucleoprotein particle (Ro RNP), in association with Ro60 and La proteins. The Y RNAs and Ro60 and La proteins are well conserved, but the function of the Ro RNP is not known. Lineage: Eukaryota; Metazoa; Chordata; Mammalia; Primates; Lemuridae. The record is from Rfam by way of RNAcentral.